GGGGGUGUAGCUCAGUGGCAGAGUGUUUGACUGCAGAUCACACGGUUCUUGGUUUAAAUCCAAGUGCCUUCU
Molecule: transfer RNA, 72 nt
Filed under: Pelodiscus sinensis (Chinese soft-shelled turtle)
Lineage: Eukaryota; Metazoa; Chordata; Testudines; Trionychidae
Rfam family: tRNA
About the family: Transfer RNA (tRNA) molecules are approximately 80 nucleotides in length. Their secondary structure includes four short double-helical elements and three loops (D, anti-codon, and T loops).
Source: Rfam by way of RNAcentral